Molecule: long non-coding RNA, 559 nt
Organism: Macrosteles quadrilineatus (aster leafhopper)
Lineage: Eukaryota; Metazoa; Arthropoda; Insecta; Hemiptera; Cicadellidae
Exons: 3
Source: RefSeq, a predicted model, not a curated record
UUCAAUACCUUAAAUUCAGUGAGGGUAUAAUCCCUAACAUUUAAAACGUCAAAGUGAUGAAAAUUAUAUUUAACUUAAGAUUAUCUUCAGAAGAACAGUCUAGCUUUUAUAUAUCUUUAUUUUUUUCUAUUUCAAAUAUGUACAGUACUGCCACCUCAAGAUUCAUAUUUAAUUGGACUACUGAAGAACCAAUCUGAUUCUUAUGAAUUGGCUAAAUAUAAAGCCGUAGAAUCUGAACGUGAAAGUUCAGACGUGAACUUGAGUGAGGAGAAGAGGAAACCCAAAGUGAUAGCAGUAUUGAAGAGAACCUCCCCCCUGCAUUGCCAAGUAGGCCAACCCCUAUAACCAUACAGCCAACUCUAAUCGGAGCAAAGACAAUCACUUCUAAAAUUACUCAUCAACACGCGUGUUGCUCAAGCCCCCCAAAAAAGAGGAGUCUGUCGAUACUAUAUUCUGAAUUCCUAGCUUUCAAAAGAGAAACCGCCCCUACGCUGACAGAAAUUUCAGAGCAGCUGGCGGUCCUAACAGAAAAUGAAAGUUUGGCAUUAAGGAACCAAAC